CUUGAAUACAUUAGCAUGGAUAAUGAAUAGGACGUUCGAUCCUAUUUGUUGGUUUCUAGGAUUGACGUAAUGAUUAAUAGGGAUAGUUGGGGGCAUUAGUAUUCAAUUGUCAGAGGUGAAAUUCUUGGAUUUAUUGAAGACUAACUACUGCGAAAGCAUUUUGCCAAGGAUGUUUUCAUUAAUCAAGAACGAAAGUUAGGGGAUCGAAGACGAUCAGAUACCGUCGUAGUCUUAACCAUAAACUAUGCCGACUAGGGAUCGGAUGAUGUUAAUUUUUUAAUGACUCAUUCGGCGCCUUACGG
This 302-nucleotide ribosomal RNA is filed under the name uncultured Glomus. RNAcentral describes it as "SSU rRNA". It matches the Rfam family "Eukaryotic small subunit ribosomal RNA", at positions 794 to 1093 of the family's 1831-position model. The record is from RNAcentral. Lineage: Eukaryota; Fungi; Glomeromycota; Glomeromycetes; Glomerales; Glomeraceae.